ACGGGUGAGUAAUGUCUGGGAAACUGCCUGAUGGAGGGGGGAUAACUACUGGAAACGGUAGCUAAUACCGCAUAACGUCGCAAGACCAAAGAGGGGGACCUUCGGGCCUCUUGCCAUCAGAUGUGCCCAGAUGGGAUUAGCUAGUAGGUGGGGUAACGGCUCACCUAGGCGACGAUCCCUAGCUGGUCUGAGAGGAUGACCAGCCACACUGGAACUGAGACACGGUCCAGACUCCUACGGGAGGCAGCAUG
This 251-nucleotide ribosomal RNA is filed under the name uncultured bacterium. RNAcentral describes it as "partial 16S ribosomal RNA". It matches the Rfam family "Bacterial small subunit ribosomal RNA", at positions 102 to 353 of the family's 1533-position model. The record is from RNAcentral.